AACGAACGCUGGCGGCAUGCCUAACACAUGCAAGUCGAACGAAGUCUUCGGACUUAGUGGCGCACGGGUGCGUAACGCGUGGGAAUCUGCCCUUGGGUGCGGGAAUAACUUCUCGAAAGGGAUGCUAAUACCGCAUAAUGUCGUAAGACCAAAGAUUUUAUCGCCCAAGGAUGAGCCCGCGUAAAGAUUAGCUAGUUGGUGGGGUAAAAAGCCUACCAAGGCGACGAUCUUUAGCUGGUCUGAGAGGAUGAUCAGCCACACUGGGACUGAGACACGGCCCAGACUCCUACGGGAGGCAGCAGUGGGGAAUAUUGGACAAUGGG
Molecule: ribosomal RNA, 323 nt
Filed under: uncultured bacterium
Lineage: Bacteria
Description: bacterial SSU rRNA
Rfam family: Bacterial small subunit ribosomal RNA
Source: RNAcentral